This 320-nucleotide unclassified non-coding RNA is filed under the name plant metagenome. RNAcentral's name for it is "partial contains 5.8S ribosomal RNA, internal transcribed spacer 2, and large subunit ribosomal RNA". The stretch from base 1 to 105 matches the Rfam family "5.8S ribosomal RNA", at positions 50 to 154 of the family's 154-position model. The record is from RNAcentral.
GAAAUGCGAUAAGUAAUGUGAAUUGCAGAAUUCAGUGAAUCAUCGAAUCUUUGAACGCACAUUGCGCCCGCCAGUAUUCUGGCGGGCAUGCCUGUUCGAGCGUCAUUACAACCCUCAGGCCCCCGGGCCUGGCGUUGGGGAUCGGCGGAAGCCCCCUGCGGGCACAACGCCGUCCCCCAAAUACAGUGGAGGUCCCGCCGCAGCUUCCAUUGCGUAGUAGCUAACACCUCGCAACUGGAGAGCGGCGCGGCCACGCCGUAAAACACCCAACUUCUGAAUGUUGACCUCGAAUCAGGUAGGCAUACCCGCUGAACUUAAGC